AUCCAGCUGACGAGUCCCAAAUAGGGUGGAAUGUGAGUCCUGGAU
Molecule: non-coding RNA, 45 nt
Filed under: Schistosoma mattheei
Lineage: Eukaryota; Metazoa; Platyhelminthes; Trematoda; Strigeidida; Schistosomatidae
Source: RNAcentral